Molecule: ribosomal RNA, 274 nt
Filed under: Acinetobacter baumannii
Lineage: Bacteria; Pseudomonadati; Pseudomonadota; Gammaproteobacteria; Moraxellales; Moraxellaceae
Description: partial 23S ribosomal RNA
Rfam family: Bacterial large subunit ribosomal RNA
Source: RNAcentral
GUUGUAUAGUCAAGUAAUUAAGUGCAUGUGGUGGAUGCCUUGGCAGUCAGAGGCGAUGAAAGACGUGAUAGCCUGCGAAAAGCUCCGGGGAGGCGGCAAAUAUCCUUUGAUCCGGAGAUGUCUGAAUGGGGGAACCCACCUACUUUAAGGUAGGUAUUGCAACAUGAAUACAUAGUGUUGCAAGGCGAACGAGGGGAAGUGAAACAUCUCAGUACCCUUAGGAAAAGAAAUCAAUUGAGAUUCCCUCAGUAGCGGCGAGCGAACGGGGAUCAGC